UACGAAGGGAGCUAGCGUUGUUCGGAAUUACUGGGCGUAAAGCGCGCGUAGGUGGCUUUGCAAGUCAGAGGUGAAAUCCCGGGGCUUAACCUCGGAAUUGCCUUUGAAACUGCAAGGCUUGAGUACUGGAGGGGAUGGUGGAAUUUCUAAUGUAGCGGUGAAAUGCGUAGAUAUUAGAAGGAACACCGGUGGCGAAGGCGACCAUCUGGACAGUAACUGACACUGAGGCGCGAAAGCGUGGGGAUCAAACAGG
RNAcentral lists this ribosomal RNA (253 nucleotides) under uncultured bacterium. RNAcentral's name for it is "partial 16S ribosomal RNA". It matches the Rfam family "Bacterial small subunit ribosomal RNA", at positions 524 to 776 of the family's 1533-position model. The record is from RNAcentral.